Molecule: ribosomal RNA, 464 nt
Filed under: Vreelandella stevensii
Lineage: Bacteria; Pseudomonadati; Pseudomonadota; Gammaproteobacteria; Oceanospirillales; Halomonadaceae
Description: partial 16S ribosomal RNA
Rfam family: Bacterial small subunit ribosomal RNA
Source: RNAcentral
CCUACGGGUGCAGCAGUGGGGAAUAUUGGACAAUGGGCGAAAGCCUGAUCCAGCCAUGCCGCGUGUGUGAAGAAGGCCUUCGGGUUGUAAAGCACUUUCAGUGGGGAAGAAAGCCUUGGGGCUAAUACCCUCGAGGAAGGACAUCACCCACAGAAGAAGCACCGGCUAACUCCGUGCCAGCAGCCGCGGUAAUACGGAGGGUGCGAGCGUUAAUCGGAAUUACUGGGCGUAAAGCGCGCGUAGGCGGUCUGAUAAGCCGGUUGUGAAAGCCCCGGGCUCAACCUGGGAACGGCAUCCGGAACUGUCAGGCUAGAGUGCAGGAGAGGAAGGUAGAAUUCCCGGUGUAGCGGUGAAAUGCGUAGAGAUCGGGAGGAAUACCAGUGGCGAAGGCGGCCUUCUGGACUGACACUGACGCUGAGGUGCGAAAGCGUGGGUAGCAAACAGGAUUAGAUACCCGAGUAGUC